This 758-nucleotide long non-coding RNA is filed under the name Brassica napus (rape). RNAcentral's name for it is "long non-coding RNA (BNAP_LNC007455)". Lineage: Eukaryota; Viridiplantae; Streptophyta; Magnoliopsida; Brassicales; Brassicaceae. The record is from RNAcentral.
CCACUAGCUUUAAAGGACUGAUGCCAGCGUCCCACUACUUAUCAAAAAUUCUUCUAAUUUUCUAUAAGAUGUAUUCAAAUUGAGAUAAACAAGUAUAUUGUUAUAAAAGAUGAUCAGCUUUUUCCAGUACAGAUUCAGAUGCAAUAAUCACCUGUUGAUCAAGGUCAAGAGCCGAUGCGUAAAAGCUCCAAGAAUAACUCUCACGUUUUCUAUGCUGCAUAAAAGUGUUGUACAGGGCAAAAUCCUUAUAGUUUAAGAUCGGCAGGUAAGAAAAACCGGUCAUAAAAAGUGGUACGUUUAUCGAUAAUUUUCAAUAGUUAUAUCAAGUAUUUUUUUUUUGAUAUCCUGUAUCCGGAUAUCCUCGAAAAAGAUAACCGUACACCGGAGUUGAGCCGGGAGCUCGCCGAAAGCAUCCAGGAAGACCGCUUUUUCACUUCAUUUUAAUCAACAGUGGUCGGAACUCGAACCUAGGUAGCAAAACUCACAGCCGUGAACCUUUUAUCACCAGGUCACAAGCGCCCGAUUAUAUCAAUAGUAUUUGUAUAUAUAAGUGCAUUCUUAGCUUUCAUUUUGUUUAGUUUUCUGAUUACGAGACAUGUCUAUGUCAUCAAAAAUGUGAGUUCUUACUUAACUUUUCUGAAUACGAGACUCCGACUUUGGUAGGAGUUAAUGUGUUAUACAAAGAGUUUCUAGAAAAUCAAUUGGUUUUGUAAUUUGUUAGACGUAUAAGUUCGAACGCUAUUAAAAAAUUCUAAGCU